This 484-nucleotide ribosomal RNA is filed under the name uncultured bacterium. RNAcentral describes it as "partial 16S ribosomal RNA". It matches the Rfam family "Bacterial small subunit ribosomal RNA", at positions 30 to 507 of the family's 1533-position model. The record is from RNAcentral.
AUUGAACGCUGGCGGCAGGCCUAACACAUGCAAGUCGAGCGGAUGAAGCGGGCUUGCUCCUGGAUUCAGCGGCGGACGGGUGGGUAAUGCCUAUUAAUCUGCCUCGUCGUAGGGGAAAACGUCCUGAUACCGGCGCUAAUACCCCAGGCGUCCUUUGGGAGAAAGUGGGGGAUCUUCGGACCUCUCGCUAUCUGAUGAGCCUAGGUGGGAUUAGCUAGUUGGUGGGGUAACUGCCUACAAAGGCGACGAUCCGUAACUGGUCUGAGAGGAUGAUCAGGCACACUGGAACUGAGACACGGUCCAGACUCCUACGGGAGGACGCAGUGGGGAAUCUUGCGCGAUGGGCGAAAGCCUGAUCCAGCCAUGCCGCGUGAAGGAUGAAGGUCUUCGGAUGGGAAAACACUGUAAGUCGGGAGGAAGGAAAGUAAGUUAAUCGGUGACUGUAUUGACGGUACCAACAGAAGAAGCACCGGCUAACUUCGUG